Molecule: long non-coding RNA, 1164 nt
Filed under: Nothobranchius furzeri (turquoise killifish)
Lineage: Eukaryota; Metazoa; Chordata; Actinopteri; Cyprinodontiformes; Nothobranchiidae
Description: lncRNA (ENSNFUG00015018484.1)
Source: RNAcentral
AUGCUUGAAUUUCACCACGCCUCCAGUCCGGGGGUCGACGCCUCCAGUCCGGGGGUCGACGCCUCCAGUCCGGGGGUCGACGCCUCCAGUCCAAGGGUCCACGCCUCCAGUCCAAGGGUCCACGCCUCCAGGCCAAGGGUCCACGCCUCCAGUCUCGAAGUCGACGCCGCCAGUCUCAAAGUCAACGCCGCCAGUCUCGAAGUCGACGCCUCCAGUCUCGAAAUUGACGCCUCCAGUCUCGAAGUCGACGCCCCCAGGCCAGAAGUCGAUGCCCCCAGGCCAGAAGUCGACGCCCCCAGGCCAGAAGUCGACGCCCCCAGGCCAGAAGUCGACGCCCCCAGGCCAGAAGUCGACGCCUCCAGGCCAGAAGUCGACGCCUCCUCGUGUUCUGAAGUCGACGCCUCCUCGUGUCCUGAAGUCGACGCCUCCUCGUGUCCUGAAAGCGACGCCUCCUCGUGUCCUGGAGUCGACGCCUCCUCGUGUCCUGGAGUCGACGCCUCCUCGUGUCCUGGAGUCGACGCUCUCUCUAGUCCAGAGGUCGACGCUCUCGCCCGUCCAGAGGUCGACGCUCUCUCCCGUCCAGAGGUUGACGCUCUCUUCCAUCCAGAGGUCGACGCUCUCUCCCGUCCAGAGGUCGACACUCUCUCCAGUCCAGAGGUCAACGCUCUCUCCAGUCCAGAGGUCGACGCUCUCUCCAGUCCAGAGGUCGAUGCUCCCUCGCGUCCAGAGGUCGACGCUCCCUCCAGUCCAACGUCUCCGCCGUCUCCAGUCCCAUGGUCGACGCCGCCGCCUCCAGCCCGGAGGCCGCCGCCGCCUCCAGUCCAGAAGUCAAGGACAUCUCCUCCGGGGUCUCUGCCUCCGGUCACCGCCAGUCCUGCCCUCAUCAGGCGCGGCCCCCCAAGAGCCUGUUGUCACCGCCUCCUCCUCUGCCACAGACGCAGGCCCCCAAGAGCCCGUCGUAACCACCUCCUCCUCUGUCACAGACGCAGGCCCCCAAGAGCCCGUCGUCACCGCCUCUUCUGCCACAGGCGCAGGCCCCCAAGAGCCCGUUGUCACCACCUCCUCCUCUGCCACAGACAGGCCCCCAAGAGCCCGUCGUCGCCGCCUCCUCUGCCACAGGCGCAGACCCCCAAGAGUCUGUCGUUGCCACCUCCUCUGCCCUAG